This 492-nucleotide ribosomal RNA is filed under the name uncultured bacterium. RNAcentral's name for it is "partial 16S ribosomal RNA". It matches the Rfam family "Bacterial small subunit ribosomal RNA", at positions 29 to 507 of the family's 1533-position model. The record is from RNAcentral.
AGUGAACGCUGGCGGUAGGCCUAACACAUGCCAGUCGAACGGCAGCACAGUAAGAGCUUGCUCUUACGGGUGGCGAGUGGCGGACGGGUGAGGAAUACAUCGGAAUCUACUUUUUCGUGGGGGUUAACGUAGGGAAACUUACGCUAAUACCGCAUACGACCUACGGGUGAAAGCAGGGGAUCUUCGGACCUUGCGCGAUUGAAUGAGCCGAUGUCGGAUUAGCUAGUUGGCGGGGUAAAGGCCCGCCAAGGCGCCGAUCCGUAGCUGGUCUGAGAGGAGGAUCAGCCACACUGGAACUGAGACACGGUCCAGACUCCUACGGGAGGCAGCAGUGGGGAAUAUGGGACAAUGGGCGCAAGCCUGAUCCAGCCAUACCGCGUGGGUGAAGAAGGCCUUCGGGUUGUAAAGCCCUUUUGUUGGGAAAGAAAAGCAGCAGGUUAAUACCCCGCUGUUCUGACGGUACCCAAAGAAUAAGCACCGGCUAACUUCGUG